CCUACGGGGCGCAGCAGUGAGGAAUAUUGGUCAAUGGGCGGGAGCCUGAACCAGCCAAGUCGCGUGAGGGAAGAAGGUACUGAGUAUUGUAAACCUCUUUUGCCAGGGGACAAAGGCGGCCACGGGUGGCCGUAAGAGGGUACCUGGAGAAAAAGCAUCGGCUAACUCCGUGCCAGCAGCAGCGGUAAUACGGAGGAUGCGAGCGUUAUCCGGAUGUAGUGGGUUUAAGGUGUGCGCAGGCGGCGUGUCAAGUCAGCGGUAAAAUGGCGGGGCUCAACCCCGGCCGGCCGUUGAAACUGGCGUGGUCGAGUUGGAGAGAAGUAUGCGGAAUGCGUGGUGUAGCGGGGAAAUGCAUAGAUAGCACGAAGAACCCCGAUUGCGAAGGCAGCAUACCGGCUCCACACUGACGCUGAGGCACGAAAGCGUGGGUAUCGAACAGGAUUAGAUACCCUUGUAGUC
This 459-nucleotide ribosomal RNA is filed under the name uncultured bacterium. RNAcentral's name for it is "partial 16S ribosomal RNA". It matches the Rfam family "Bacterial small subunit ribosomal RNA", at positions 338 to 795 of the family's 1533-position model. The record is from RNAcentral.